AAUUGGACAUGNACGAAAUCUGACCAGCCAUGCCGCGUGCAGGAUGACGGCCCUAUGGGUUGUAAACUGCUUUUAUACANGAAGAAACNCUCCCACGUGUGGGGGCUUGACGGUACUGUANGAAUAAGGAUCGGCUAACUCCGUGCCAGCAGCCGCGGUAAUAN
RNAcentral lists this ribosomal RNA (164 nucleotides) under uncultured Bacteroidota bacterium. RNAcentral's name for it is "uncultured Bacteroidetes bacterium partial 16S ribosomal RNA". It matches the Rfam family "Bacterial small subunit ribosomal RNA", at positions 359 to 526 of the family's 1533-position model. The record is from RNAcentral. Lineage: Bacteria; Pseudomonadati; Bacteroidota.